Molecule: ribosomal RNA, 258 nt
Filed under: uncultured bacterium
Lineage: Bacteria
Description: partial 16S ribosomal RNA
Rfam family: Bacterial small subunit ribosomal RNA
Source: RNAcentral
GUCCACGCCGUAACGAUGAAUACUAGGUGUCCGCAUUCACAGGAUGUGGGUGCCGCAGCAACGCAAUAAGUAUUCCACCUGGGAGUACGUUCGCAAGAAUGAACUCAAGGAAUUGACGGGACCCGCACAAGCGGUGGAGCAUGUGGUUUAAUUCGAAGCAACGCGAAGAACCUUACCAGGUCUUGACAUGCCGAUGACAGAUGGGGUAAUGCCAUCCUCUCUACGGAGCAUUGGACACAGGUGGUGCAUGGUUGUCGU